UGGGGAUAGAGGGAAUCGAACCCUCACGGCCAAAGCCAACGGAUUUU
RNAcentral lists this transfer RNA (47 nucleotides) under Adiantum capillus-veneris. RNAcentral's name for it is "partial tRNA-Leu". The record is from RNAcentral. Lineage: Eukaryota; Viridiplantae; Streptophyta; Polypodiopsida; Polypodiales; Pteridaceae.